Molecule: long non-coding RNA, 380 nt
Filed under: Homo sapiens (human)
Lineage: Eukaryota; Metazoa; Chordata; Mammalia; Primates; Hominidae
Description: HSALNT0351110
Source: RNAcentral
CAAGGUCUUAUGUCAUGGUUGAGAAAUCAAUAGCAAAAAGCAAGUACUUCAGUAAACAGUAAGUCAAGAACAGCGUCUAAUUCUGCUCUGCAAAGUUCCCAGCACUCUAGAGGAAACCAGCUACUAUGAAGGCUUAUGAGAGACCCAUGUGAUAAAGAGCUGAAGCCUCCUACCGAAUAAGACCUGAGUGAGGUUGGAAGUGUGUACUGCAGCCCUGAAGCUGUCAGCUUGACUGCAACCUCAAGAGAGACCCUAAGCCAGAACCACCCAGCUAAGCUGCUCCAGAAUUUCCGACUUAAAGAAACUGUGUGAGAUGAUAAAUGUAUGCUUUAUAAGCUGCCACAUUUUGCAAAAAUUUGUUAAGCAAAUAUAUGACAACU